Camellia sinensis is the source of this 1483-nucleotide non-coding RNA. NCBI's taxonomy places the organism in Eukaryota, Viridiplantae, Streptophyta, Magnoliopsida, Ericales, Theaceae. The record is from RefSeq and is a predicted model, not a curated record.
CCUCAAUCACCACCGCCGUCUACGGCGCCGAUUCUUUCCCUUCUUCUUUUAGCAAGUUCAAUUCGGCUCUCACUGCUAGACUAUUGAAUCCCAUGUCUUCACCACUACCUCCCUCCGACAAGGCCCGAUCGAGCCCGACCCUUUUCGAAAUGAUGGCGAGCGAGCCCGAUUCCAUUCCCAGAUCCCAACAGCGAUUGUCGGAGAUUUUGGGUUCUCGGAGUCCGGGAAGUCAGUUCAAUGACCCCAAUUCGAGCGAGCGAUGUCACCAGAGUACUUGGAUUGAAGGUUUCAGCUGCAAUUGGGUUUGAUGCUGGGGUUUUGUCAUGUUUGGAGUAUGUAGAGGAUGCUCCAUGGGCUGAAGAUGAAGAAGAGAAGGUGGCUUCAGUAUGUAGCUAAUGAGUAUGUAGCUAAUGAGAGCUUGGACAAGCUUCUCUUCAGUUUUGAGGUAUGUAGAAGGUUUAUGCUGGGUUUGCUGGUUCUACUACCAUGGUGUCUACUCAUGGCAAUGGUCAGUUUUUGAUUUAGUAGUAGUACGUAUGUCAAUAAUGAGUUUUUGUAAAGACAUUAUGGCCAAAGAAGCGGUUGUACACCCAUAUUAUGCAAUAUGCAUUGCGUGGAUUGGAUGAGAAAACAGAGGAUUUUGGCUCUGUGUCUAAAUGGAAGUCAAGCAAAGCAUCCUACAAAUGUGCACUUUUAUAGGAUCUUAUUUUCAAGAUAACAUUGGACCAGGUAAAUAUGAGCAAAUGCUUAAUCUCCAUCCCACCACACAGAUGAUAUAUACACAUGUUUAAUUAAGGAGGCUUAUGCCUAUUUAUCAACAAAAAAAAUCAAAAAAUUAAGGAUGCUUAUGCUUGGUACUGUUUUAUGUUGUGUAGAUUGCUGCCUUUCAGUGUACUUGCAUUUAAACUAAAUGUCCUGUUUUUGCUUCAAGUUUUAUCCAUAUCAUUAUGCUAAAUGUCCUUUCGACUAGCUAAUGGGAACCUUGCCUGCUGCAAGGUCUGUAUUACUUUCUCACUCUGUCUCUCUCUCUCUCUGCUGCUGCAUUCAGUACUGUAUGAGCUUAUCAAUUUCAUGUUACAGUUCUAGUGCUCUGCCUGAAGAGUACAGGAGAUUGAUGACUGAUCCAGCAUCACCGAUCCAAGAAUUCUACCCUUUUGGUUGUAUUACUUGAGUUUCAUAGUUUUCUAUUAUUUCUUUUUGAACCUUUUUUUUUUUUCCGACACAUGAAUUUAUAGCACACUAUCUAAAUUGUUAGUUAACUUAUAUUUAUUAUAUAAAUACCAGCCACAAACACUCAAUGUGUUAGUUGGAAGCUUGUCAUUGUGAUGCUCUAAAUUAUCAGAGCCUCAAAUUAUUUUGGCAUCAUCUGACAAAUGUUGGCGUAUGAUAUAGGGCUUACUUUAGACCUAUGUUGCUGUUAGAUAGUUUAGGGUGGUGGUUUUAGCUAUAUAUUUAUAUGUGUGGUGUUUAGUGGGUUUGACAG